RNAcentral lists this ribosomal RNA (467 nucleotides) under uncultured bacterium. RNAcentral's name for it is "partial 16S ribosomal RNA". It matches the Rfam family "Bacterial small subunit ribosomal RNA", at positions 29 to 507 of the family's 1533-position model. The record is from RNAcentral.
ACGAACGCUGGCGGCGUGCUUAACACAUGCAAGUCGAACGGAAAGGCCCUGCUUUUGUGGGGUGCUCGAGUGGCGAACGGGUGAGUAACACGUGAGUAACCUGCCCUUGACUUCGGGAUAACUUCAGGAAACUGGGGCUAAUACCGGAUAGGAGCUCCUGCUGCAUGGUGGGGAUUGGAAAGUUUCGGCGGUUGGGGAUGGACUCGCGGCUUAUCAGCUUGUUGGUGGGGUAGUGGCUUACCAAGGCUUUGACGGGUAGCCGGCCUGAGAGGGUGACCGGCCACAUUGGGACUGAGAUACGGCCCAGACUCCUACGGGAGGCAGCAGUGGGGAAUAUUGCACAAUGGGCGGAAGCCUGAUGCAGCAACGCCGCGUGCGGGAUGACGGCCUUCGGGUUGUAAACCGCUUUCGCCUGUGACGAAGCGUGAGUGACGGUAAUGGGUAAAGAAGCACCGGCUAACUACGUG